This 253-nucleotide ribosomal RNA is filed under the name uncultured bacterium. Its description in RNAcentral is "partial 16S ribosomal RNA". It matches the Rfam family "Bacterial small subunit ribosomal RNA", at positions 524 to 776 of the family's 1533-position model. The record is from RNAcentral.
UACGAGGGGGGCGAGCGUUGUUCGGAAUUAUUGGGCGUAAAGGGUGCGUAGGCGGUUUUGUAAGUCUUAUGUGAAAUCUAUGGGCUCAACUCAUAGACUGCAUGAGAAACUGCAGGGCUUGAGUAUGGGAGAGGUGAGUGGAAUUCCUGGUGUAGCGGUGAAAUGCGUAGAUAUCAGGAGGAACACCAGUGGCGAAGGCGGCUUCCUGGACCGGUUCUGACACUGAGGAGCGAAAGCGUGGGGAGCGAUCCGG